Molecule: ribosomal RNA, 443 nt
Filed under: uncultured bacterium
Lineage: Bacteria
Description: partial 16S ribosomal RNA
Rfam family: Bacterial small subunit ribosomal RNA
Source: RNAcentral
CCUACGGGAGGCAGCAGUGGGGAAUAUUGGGCAAUGGGCGCAAGCCUGACCCAGCAACGCCGCGUGAAGGAAGAAGGCUUUCGGGUUGUAAACUUCUUUUCUCAGGGACGAAGCAAGUGACGGUACCUGAGGAAUAAGCCACGGCUAACUACGUGCCAGCAGCCGCGGUAAUACGUAGGUGGCAAGCGUUAUCCGGAUUUACUGGGUGGAAAGGGCGUGUAGGCGGGAAAGCAAGUCAGAUGUGAAAACCAUGGGCUCAACCUGUGGCCUGCAUUUGAAACUGUUUUUCUUGAGUACUGGAGAGGCAGACGGAAUUCCUAGUGUAGCGGUGAAAUGCGGAGAUAUUAGGAGGAACACCAGUGGCGAAGGCGGUCUGCUGGACAGCAACUGACGGUGAGGCGCGAAAGCGUGGGGAGCAAACAGGAUUAGAUACCCUAGUAGUC